GUGGGGAAUCUUGCGCAAUGGGCGAAAGCCUGACGCAGCCAUGCCGCGUGAAUGAUGAAGGUCUUAGGAUUGUAAAAUUCUUUCACCGGGGACGAUAAUGACGGUACCCGGAGAAGAAGCCCCGGCUAACUUCGUGCCAGCAGCCGCGGUAAUACGAAGGGGGCUAGCGUUGCUCGGAAUUACUGGGCGUAAAGGGCGCGUAGGCGGAUCGUUAAGUCAGGGGUGAAAUCCCAGAGCUCAACUCUGGAACUGCCCUUGAUACUGGCGAUCUUGAGUGUGAGAGAGGUAUGUGGAACUCCGAGUGUAGAGGUGAAAUUCGUAGCUAUUCGGAAGAACACCAGUGGCGAAGGCGACAUACUGGCUCAUUACUGACGCUGAGGCGCGAAAGCGUGGGGAGCAAACAGGAUUAGAAACCCCGGUAGUCC
Molecule: ribosomal RNA, 425 nt
Filed under: uncultured bacterium
Lineage: Bacteria
Description: partial 16S ribosomal RNA
Rfam family: Bacterial small subunit ribosomal RNA
Source: RNAcentral